UCAGGACGAACGCUGGCGGCGUGCCUAAUACAUGCAAGUCGAACGGUCUUUCUAUGGAAGCUUGCUUCCACUGAGAAGAUAGUGGCGAACGGGUGAGUAACACGUGGGUAACCUGCCCAUAAGAGGGGGAUAACAUCCGGAAACGGGUGCUAAUACCGCAUAGUUUUCUUGAUCGCAUGAUUGAGAAAGGAAAGACGGCCUUUGUGCUGUCGCUUAUGGAUGGACCCGCGGCGUAUUAGUUAGUUGGUGAGGUAACGGCUCACCAAGACGAUGAUACGUAGCCGACCUGAGAGGGUGAUCGGCCACAUUGGGACUGAGACACGGCCCAAACUCCUACGGGAGGCAGCAGUAGGGAAUCUUCCGCAAUGGACGAAAGUCUGACGGAGCAACGCCGCGUGAGUGAAAGAAGGUUUUCGGAUCGUAAAACUCUGUUGUCAGAGAAGAACAAGUUGGAGAGUAACUGCUCCAGCCUUGACGGUAUCUGACCAGAAAGCCACGGCUAACUACGUGCCAGCCGCGGC
This 521-nucleotide ribosomal RNA is filed under the name uncultured bacterium. RNAcentral describes it as "bacterial SSU rRNA". It matches the Rfam family "Bacterial small subunit ribosomal RNA", at positions 24 to 518 of the family's 1533-position model. The record is from RNAcentral.